This 599-nucleotide ribosomal RNA is filed under the name Nostoc sp. LMGV7. RNAcentral's name for it is "bacterial SSU rRNA". It matches the Rfam family "Bacterial small subunit ribosomal RNA", at positions 107 to 741 of the family's 1533-position model. Lineage: Bacteria; Bacillati; Cyanobacteriota; Cyanophyceae; Nostocales; Nostocaceae. The record is from RNAcentral.
GGAGUAACGCGUGAGAAUCUGGCUUUAGGUCUGGGACAACCACUGGAAACGGUGGCUAAUACCGGAUGUGCAGAGAUGUGAAAGGCUUGCUGCCUAGAGAUGAGCUCGCGUCUGAUUAGCUAGUUGGUAGUGUAAGAGACUACCAAGGCGACGAUCAGUAGCUGGUCUGAGAGGAUGAUCAGCCACACUGGGACUGAGACACGGCCCAGACUCCUACGGGAGGCAGCAGUGGGGAAUUUUCCGCAAUGGGCGAAAGCCUGACGGAGCAAUACCGCGUGAGGGAGGAAGGCUCUUGGGUUGUAAACCUCUUUUCUCAGGGAAUAAUUCUGAAGGUACUUGAGGAAUAAGCAUCGGCUAACUCCGUGCCAGCAGCCGCGGUAAUACGGAGGAUGCAAGCGUUAUCCGGAAUGAUUGGGCGUAAAGCGUCCGCAGGUGGCAUUGUGUGUCUGCUGUUAAAGAGUGAGGCUUAACCUCAUAAAAGCAGUGGAAACUACAAAGCUAGAGUGCGUUCGGGGCAGAAGGAAUUCCUGGUGUAGCGGUGAAAUGCGUAGAGAUCAGGAAGAACACCGGUGGCGAAGGCGUUCUGCUAGGCCGCAACU